GUACACUCCUACGGGAGGCAGCAGUGGGGAAUAUUGCACAAUGGGCGCAAGCCUGAUGCAGCCAUGCCGCGUGUAUGAAGAAGGCCUUCGGGUUGUAAAGUACUUUCAGCGGGGAGGAAGGCAAUACGGUUAAUAACCGUGUUGAUUGACGUUACCCGCAGAAGAAGCACCGGCUAACUCCGUGCCAGCAGCCGCGGUAAUACGGAGGGUGCAAGCGUUAAUCGGAAUUACUGGGCGUAAAGCGCACGCAGGCGGUCUGUCAAGUCGGAUGUGAAAUCCCCGGGCUCAACCUGGGAACUGCAUUCGAAACUGGCAGGCUUGAGUCUUGUAGAGGGGGGUAGAAUUCCAGGUGUAGCGGUGAAAUGCGUAGAGAUCUGGAGGAAUACCGGUGGCGAAGGCGGCCCCCUGGACAAAGACUGACGCUCAGGUGCGAAAGCGUGGGGAGCAAACAGGAUUAGAAACCCCUGUAGUCCC
Molecule: ribosomal RNA, 474 nt
Filed under: uncultured organism
Description: partial 16S ribosomal RNA
Rfam family: Bacterial small subunit ribosomal RNA
Source: RNAcentral